This 254-nucleotide ribosomal RNA is filed under the name uncultured bacterium. Its description in RNAcentral is "partial 16S ribosomal RNA". It matches the Rfam family "Bacterial small subunit ribosomal RNA", at positions 524 to 776 of the family's 1533-position model. The record is from RNAcentral.
UACGGGGGGAGCAAGCGUUGUUCGGAUUUACUGGGCGUAAAGGGCGCGUAGGCGGUCAGCACAGGUCAGUUGUGAAAUCUCCGGGCUUAACUCGGAAAGGUCAACUGAUACUGUGCGACUAGAGUGCAGAAGGGGCAACUGGAAUUCUCGGUGUAGCGGUGAAAUGCGUAGAUAUCGAGAGGAACACCUGCGGCGAAGGCGGGUUGCUGGGCUGACACUGACGCUGAUGCGCGAAAGCUAGGGGAGCGAACGGG